This 351-nucleotide unclassified non-coding RNA is filed under the name soil metagenome. RNAcentral's name for it is "partial contains 5.8S ribosomal RNA, internal transcribed spacer 2, and large subunit ribosomal RNA". The stretch from base 4 to 119 matches the Rfam family "5.8S ribosomal RNA", at positions 39 to 154 of the family's 154-position model. The record is from RNAcentral.
GAUAAGAACGCAGCGAAAUGCGAUAAGUAAUGCGAAUUGCAGAAUCCGUGAGUCAUCGAAUCUUUGAACGCACAUUGCGCCCCUUGGUUAUUCCGAAGGGCAUGCCUGUUCGAGCGUCAUUAUCACCCCUCAAGCCCUGGCUUGGUGUUGGACUUUAGUUAUAGCUUUGCCUAUCAACUGGUCUCAAAGAUAGUGACGGCGCCCCAGAGGGAACCGGGUACGAGGAGCUUUUUACUAAGCAUGUAUCUGGGACGACUCUGGGCGACGGUCUUGUUAUACUUUUUACCUAAGUGUUGACCUCGGAUCAGGUAGGAAUACCCGCUGAACUUAAGCAUAUCAAUAAGCGGAGGA